Molecule: ribosomal RNA, 392 nt
Filed under: uncultured bacterium
Lineage: Bacteria
Description: partial 16S ribosomal RNA
Rfam family: Bacterial small subunit ribosomal RNA
Source: RNAcentral
AUACGGAGGAUGCGAGCGUUAUCCGGAUUUAUUGGGUUUAAAGGGAGCGUAGGCGGGAGCUUAAGUCAGCGGUUAAAUGGUGCGGCUCGACCGUGCCCUGCCGUUGAAACUGGGUUUCUUGAGAGUGCAAGAGGCGGAUGGAAUUCAUGGUGUAGCGGUGAAAUGCUUAGAUAUCAUGAAGAACUCCGAUUGCGAAGGCAGUCCGCUGGGGCACGUCUGACGCUGAUGCUCGAAGGUGCGGGAAUCAAACAGGAUUAGAUACCCUGGUAGUCCGCACGGUAAACGAUGAUUACCCGCUGUCGGCGGCAGACAGUCGGCGGCCAAGCGAAAGCGAUAAGUAAUCCACCUGGGGAGUACGCCGGCAACGGUGAAACUCAAAGGAAUUGACGGGG